UAUACGGGGAAUUUAUAAAGAUUGAUGUGACACGUUUCAGAAAUAACAAUUAAGAUGAUUUAAAAAUGUUACUGUUAUAUUAUUUUAAUUAAUAAAUUUUGUAUAAAGUUUCUAAAAUACGAGUAUUUUUAUUAAUAUAAUACAUCUAGUAGUGGGAGUGUGCAAGAGAAUAUAAUUAGUUUCCCUCCCAUAUUUGUAGGACGGGUUCAAGUCUCGUGAAUUGCCCAUUACACCUUAUCAAAGUGGCACGUUAGGUUUUUUCGACAUUUAUGUAUCUUUGAGAAUUGUCGAAUUGAACAAUGAACAGAAAUAUUUGAGGACAAUGACUCUUUAAUUUGUAAAAUAACGAAAAUAAGACUACCACCUACUAUAUCUUUCAAACCAAAGCAAAAACAUUGUAUACUAAGGCCAUAUUUGAUAACAGAUUUUACUUUAAUGAAAGUAGCUAUCCAAACUCAAUUCUGGGAUUAGAUUAUAGUACUCCAUUUUUAGGUAAUUAACAUUCUCAGUGAACUAUUAUUCAAUAAUUUAAUUUUUGCACUAGAAUGUCGUUAAAGUGAAUCGCAGAACUAAUAAUUCAAUUUCACCAUUAAAAUAACUUGGUAUAUCUAUUUAGAUCUAGUGGUGUUGUGCCAAAUUUAGUUGGUAGCAGAUAGCAAGUACACUUAAUUUUUGGUGCAAUUAGGGGGUGAGUUGAACUAAUUAAAUAAAAUAUGGUAAU
Molecule: long non-coding RNA, 721 nt
Filed under: Actinidia chinensis (golden kiwifruit)
Lineage: Eukaryota; Viridiplantae; Streptophyta; Magnoliopsida; Ericales; Actinidiaceae
Description: long non-coding RNA (ACHI_LNC003647)
Source: RNAcentral